This 274-nucleotide long non-coding RNA is filed under the name Helianthus annuus (common sunflower). RNAcentral's name for it is "sRNA HanXRQr2_Chr11g0468641". Lineage: Eukaryota; Viridiplantae; Streptophyta; Magnoliopsida; Asterales; Asteraceae. The record is from RNAcentral.
CGAUUUAAACAAUCCAGUUGCAGCUCUCGCUUCUAAGUUGGAAGGUGAACGCGCCGAUUUAAACAAUCCAGUUGCAGCUCCCGCUUCUAAGGAUGAUGGUGAUAAAUCUGUUGAGAUAAUCAGUUACGGUCACAUGUUCAGCCCGUACAAAUCUCAUCUUCAACGUGAAUUUACUGAAGAGGAUCGAACAUAUGAAGCUCAAAGGAAGAGAUACAAGAGGCUCUCAGAAUGAAAAUGGAGUCAAGUUAUCAAUUUAGAUGAUUCUGAAGAAGAU